RNAcentral lists this ribosomal RNA (253 nucleotides) under uncultured bacterium. Its description in RNAcentral is "partial 16S ribosomal RNA". It matches the Rfam family "Bacterial small subunit ribosomal RNA", at positions 524 to 776 of the family's 1533-position model. The record is from RNAcentral.
UACGUAGGGGGCGAGCGUUGUCCGAAGUUACUGGGCGUAAAGCGCGCGUAGGCGGGGAAUCAAGUGAGAAGUGAAGGGCUGGGGCUCAACCUCAUGCAGUGCUUCUCAUACUGGUUCUCUUGAGGGCGGUAGGGAGAAGUGGAAUGGCUAGUGUAGCGGUGAAAUGCGUAGAUAUCAGUCGGAACACCGGUGGCGAAGGCGGCUUCUGGGCCGGUACUGACGCUGAGGAGCGAAAGCGUGGGGAGCGAACAGG